Molecule: long non-coding RNA, 571 nt
Filed under: Harpegnathos saltator (Jerdon's jumping ant)
Lineage: Eukaryota; Metazoa; Arthropoda; Insecta; Hymenoptera; Formicidae
Description: uncharacterized LOC112590654, transcript variant X2
Source: RNAcentral
CCUAGUAGAUGUAGUAGUCUUGGAUAAACCAUAAAAAUGAAGUCCAGCAUAAACUGGCAUCAUUUAAGAAUCAUCAUUGAUAUGAUUCCAUCUUAGCGGUGCCAUGUAGUUCCAAGUUCCGAAACAGCUGAAUUUGCGUCGAAAGAAUCUCAAGGUCGCCAGUUGUUAUCGAUGCGAAAUUACGAGCUUUUAAAAUAAUCGCACAACAACAGUCUUUGCAUAAUAGUCUUUGUGUUUUACGACGUAACGCAGACGCAUUAAUGACAUGAUAAUGUAGCGCCAAAUGGAAAAAACCCGGAGCUUGCAAAUAGACGCUGUGUUACGCGUACAAGAUUCUGUCCCGCGUGUUUUGUCGUGCAUUUCUGCUUUACAUUGGGAAUAUACUGGCUUAGAGAGCUUGGAGAUGGCGGGCGAGAAAAAUACAAACGAUCCUGGUUACGCUUGAACGUCUUAUCACAAAGUGGACACGCGUGCGGUCUCAAGUCUGAAUGCGUUAUGCUGUGGGCACGUAACGUCGAAUUCGUCGGGUAAACUCUACCACAUACGUUGCACGGAAAUUGUACGCCACCAU